This 472-nucleotide ribosomal RNA is filed under the name uncultured bacterium. Its description in RNAcentral is "bacterial SSU rRNA". It matches the Rfam family "Bacterial small subunit ribosomal RNA", at positions 36 to 522 of the family's 1533-position model. The record is from RNAcentral.
CUGGCGGCGUGCUUUACACAUGCAAGUCGAACGGAAUCCAAGGAGCUUGCUCCUGAAGAUUUAGUGGCGAACGGGUGAGUAUCACGUGAGCAACCUGCCCCAAAGACUGGGAUAACACCGGGAAACCGGCGCUAAUACUGGAUACCUUUAUUUGAUCGCAUGAUUAGAUAAAGAAAUGUUUUUUCGCUUUGGGAGGGGCUCGCGGUCCAUCAGCUUGUUGGGGGGGUAACGGCCCACCAAGGCUACGACGGAUAGCUGGUCUGAGAGGACGAUCAGCCACACUGGGACUGAGACACGGCCCAGACUCCUACGGGAGGCAGCAGUGGGGAAUCUUGCGCAAUGGACGAAAGUCUGACGCAGCAACGCCGCGUGAGGGACGAAGGCUUUCUGAGUUGUAAACCUCUUUCGACAGGAACGAUAAUGACGGUACCUGUAGAAGAAGCACCGGCCAACUAUGUGUCCGGUGUCUGUG